CUACGGGUGACAGCAGUAGGGAAUCUUAGACAAUGGGGGAAACCCUGAUCUAGCCAUGCCGCGUGAGUGAUGAAGGCCUUAGGGUUGUAAAGCUCUUUCGCUGGGGAAGAUAAUGACGGUACCCAGUAAAGAAACCCCGGCUAACUCCGUGCCAGCAGCCGCGGUAAUACGGAGGGGGUUAGCGUUGUUCGGAAUUACUGGGCGUAAAGCGCGCGUAGGCGGGCUAUUAAGUCAGGGGUGAAAUCCCGGGGCUCAACCCCGGAACUGCCUUUGAUACUGGUAGUCUUGAGUUCGAGAGAGGUGAGUGGAAUUCCGAGUGUAGAGGUGAAAUUCGUAGAUAUUCGGAGGAACAUCAGUGGCGAAGGCGACUCACUGGCUCGAUACUGACGCUGAGGUGCGAAAGUGUGGGGAGCAAACAGGAUUAGAUACCCGGGUAGUC
RNAcentral lists this ribosomal RNA (439 nucleotides) under uncultured bacterium. RNAcentral describes it as "partial 16S ribosomal RNA". It matches the Rfam family "Bacterial small subunit ribosomal RNA", at positions 339 to 795 of the family's 1533-position model. The record is from RNAcentral.